AUGCUAUCGGUAGCACGGUGCGCUCCGUGCUACUAAGUUGUUUUCAAUGAUGCGGCUUCCAAAUCGACGAUUGGCUCCGUUAGACUUGAUCUAUACUAUUGAAAGUAUUUGAAAACUAAAUUUCAGAUUUUUUCGACAUCAUUUGACUAGUGAUCAAAAGAUCUCAAAAUUGACAAUUUUAAUAGCCGAUGUGGUGUGUUUGUGAGUUUAACGCUAUAAAACAAUCCAAAUGCGAUGAAAAUUUUAUAGAAUUUUCACUAUUUAGAGUAAGAUCAGUAUAUCUGAUCUUGAAUUUAAAUCUUUUAUCAUCAUUUUUCAUGAGAUUUUUAUUUUCGGUCGUUCAAUUUUAGACUACUUGUUUGAUAGGUAAAUGAUAUUGAAAAAUUAUGAAAUUUAGUUUCUAAAUACUUUCAAUAGUGUAGA
RNAcentral lists this long non-coding RNA (423 nucleotides) under Ananas comosus (pineapple). RNAcentral describes it as "long non-coding RNA (ACOM_LNC041500)". Lineage: Eukaryota; Viridiplantae; Streptophyta; Magnoliopsida; Poales; Bromeliaceae. The record is from RNAcentral.